RNAcentral lists this small nuclear RNA (107 nucleotides) under Castor canadensis (American beaver). The record is from RNAcentral. Lineage: Eukaryota; Metazoa; Chordata; Mammalia; Rodentia; Castoridae.
GUGCUCACUUUGGCAGCACACGUACUAAAAUUGGGACGAUAUGGAGAAGACUAGCAUGACCCCUGCGCAAGGGUGACACACAAAUCCGUGAGCGUUCUAAUUAAAAA